UUUUAUGGAGAGUUUGAUCCUGGCUCAGGAUGAACGCUGGCGGCGUGCCUAAUACAUGCAAGUCGAGCGAACGGACGAGAAGCUUGCUUCUCUGAUGUUAGCGGCGGACGGGUGAGUAACACGUGGAUAACCUACCUAUAAGACUGGGAUAACUUCGGGAAACCGGAGCUAAUACCGGAUAAUAUUUUGAACCGCAUGGUUCAAAAGUGAAAGACGGUCUUGCUGUCACUUAUAGAUGGAUCCGCGCUGCAUUAGCUAGUUGGUAAGGUAACGGCUUACCAAGGCAACGAUGCAUAGCCGACCUGAGAGGGUGAUCGGCCACACUGGAACUGAGACACGGUCCAGACUCCUACGGGAGGCAGCAGUAGGGAAUCUUCCGCAAUGGGCGAAAGCCUGACGGAGCAACGCCGCGUGAGUGAUGAAGGUCUUCGGAUCGUAAAACUCUGUUAUUAGGGAAGAACAUAUGUGUAAGUAACUGUGCACAUCUUGACGGUACCUAAUCAGAAAGCCACGGCUAACUACGUGCCAGCAGCCGCGGUAAUACGUAGGUGGCAAGCGUUAUCCGGAAUUAUUGGGCGUAAAGCGCGCGUAGGCGGUUUUUUAAGUCUGAUGUGAAAGCCCACGGCUCAACCGUGGAGGGUCAUUGGAAACUGGAAAACUUGAGUGCAGAAGAGGAAAGUGGAAUUCCAUGUGUAGCGGUGAAAUGCGCAGAGAUAUGGAGGAACACCAGUGGCGAAGGCGACUUUCUGGUCUGUAACUGACGCUGAUGUGCGAAAGCGUGGGGAUCAAACAGGAUUAGAUACCCUGGUAGUCCACGCCGUAAACGAUGAGUGCUAAGUGUUAGGGGGUUUCCGCCCCUUAGUGCUGCAGCUAACGCAUUAAGCACUCCGCCUGGGGAGUACGACCGCAAGGUUGAAACUCAAAGGAAUUGACGGGGACCCGCACAAGCGGUGGAGCAUGUGGUUUAAUUCGAAGCAACGCGAAGAACCUUACCAAAUCUUGACAUCCUUUGACAACUCUAGAGAUAGAGCCUUCCCCUUCGGGGGACAAAGUGACAGGUGGUGCAUGGUUGUCGUCAGCUCGUGUCGUGAGAUGUUGGGUUAAGUCCCGCAACGAGCGCAACCCUUAAGCUUAGUUGCCAUCAUUAAGUUGGGCACUCUAAGUUGACUGCCGGUGACAAACCGGAGGAAGGUGGGGAUGACGUCAAAUCAUCAUGCCCCUUAUGAUUUGGGCUACACACGUGCUACAAUGGACAAUACAAAGGGCAGCGAAACCGCGAGGUCAAGCAAAUCCCAUAAAGUUGUUCUCAGUUCGGAUUGUAGUCUGCAACUCGACUACAUGAAGCUGGAAUCGCUAGUAAUCGUAGAUCAGCAUGCUACGGUGAAUACGUUCCCAGGUCUUGUACACACCGCCCGUCACACCACGAGAGUUUGUAACACCCGAAGCCGGUGGAGUAACCUUUUAGGAGCUAGCCGUCGAAGGUGGGACAAAUGAUUGGGGUGAAGUCGUAACAAGGUAGCCGUAUCGGAAGGUGCGGCUGGAUCACCUCCUUUCUAA
This 1557-nucleotide ribosomal RNA is filed under the name Staphylococcus aureus. RNAcentral describes it as "16S ribosomal RNA". It matches the Rfam family "Bacterial small subunit ribosomal RNA". Lineage: Bacteria; Bacillati; Bacillota; Bacilli; Caryophanales; Staphylococcaceae. The record is from RNAcentral.